Molecule: unclassified non-coding RNA, 22 nt
Filed under: Mus musculus (house mouse)
Lineage: Eukaryota; Metazoa; Chordata; Mammalia; Rodentia; Muridae
Description: oocyte_clustered_small_RNA5714
Source: RNAcentral
UCCCCAGGUCCCUGCGCCUGGC